This is a long non-coding RNA of Mustela erminea (ermine), 3315 nucleotides long. RefSeq lists it as uncharacterized. The record is from RefSeq and is a predicted model, not a curated record. Lineage: Eukaryota; Metazoa; Chordata; Mammalia; Carnivora; Mustelidae. The transcript has 6 exons.
CCACUUUAAGCUUUCUUCUAAGACCCCUGUGGUGGUGAUGAAUUCCUUUUUGCUUUUGCUUGUCUGAAAAUCUCUUUAUCAUUCCUGAAAUUCUGAAUUGAAACACUGUGGGGCACUGUAAUUCUUAGUUGAAAGUUUGGAAGGUUUUUUUCCUUUCAUUACUUUGAGCAUAUCCUGACACUCCCUUCUGGUCUGCAAAGCUUCUCCAGAAAAUCUGUUGAUUGUCUAAUGGGGGGAAUCUCUUUUACAUAACAAAUUGUUUUUCUCUUGAUGCUUUUAAAAUUCUUUCCUGUCUUUAACUUUUGAGAUUUUAAUUAUAAUGUGCCUUGGUUUGAGUCUCUUCAGGUUCUUAUUUGGAACUCUCAGGGCUUCCUGGAUCUGGAUGUCUGUUUCCUUCCCCAAGUUAGAGAAAUUUCAGCUAGCUGUUCUUUCUUCACGUGAGCUUUCUGCCCCUUUCCUCCUUCCUCUGGAACCUUGUAAUGCACAUGUUGGACUGUUGGAUGUUGUUUCAUAAGCCCUAUAAGUUACCUACUUUUUUACACUAGGGUUGGGUUUUUUGUUUGCUUGCUUGUUUUUGCUGCUCUGAUUGGGUGAGUUCUGUGCUCUGUAUUGGAGUUUACUUGUCCUUUCUUCUUCUUCGUCUAGUUUACUGUUGAACCUCUCUGGUUAUUUUUCAGCUCAUUGAUUAUAUCUGCUAGCUGCCUCACAGAGGAGGCUCUACGUCAGCACCUAGAUUCAGGCUGAUUGUAAGACCCCUAGGGCAGCACCUUACAAAUACAUACAGUCCUACAGGACAGCAAGCAUUAAGUUCCAGGGGCUACCUACGCUGGGCACCUUGGAAGUGUCUCCUGAGUGUCAGUCACAAAAAUUGGGGUGCCAGACAACUGUAUGAGUUCCUUUCUGGAGGAUACCAGCAGUCUGAAGGAAGGCGGGUGGAGUGCACAGGUGGGCAUCUCCUGACUUCUGUCCCAGUACAGCAUCUUAGAAGCUCGCUCCCUAGGUGUUCGUCAAACCAAAAGCCUGCCCCUCGGGCCAGAGCUCCAGGACCAGCAAAUAGUCCUUUAUCACAGAGAGUGGGGGGCGGGGGUUGGUGUUAGCCGGUGUGUGGUGUGUGUGUGUGGUGUCCUGGAGUUUGUAGUAGGCCACAGUUGGCCUCCCCACCUGUUACAGUCCAGUGGGCCACAGGAAUGCAGAUCCUGCGGGCUACCAGAGCUAGGUGGUGAAGGGCCGUCCACUGGGUGGUAACUGUCCACAGCAGUCAAGGCCUCGGACAUAGAAACUGGUACCAGACCCGUAUACACACUGCCUCCUGGGCGAUGCUGGCACGCUAGAGCGUGGCAGAAGGAGAACACAAAGCUAGUCCUCUGAGGUCUUUGGAAAGGCUCACAGACGGCCCUCAGAUGUGUGCUGGCUUAGAAGUCUAGCCUCUGACGUAGCUGUGGAGAUGAGCUCGUGGGCCUCUUUCACAGGAAAACUAGGCUCGUCAGACUUGCCUAUGGCUGUGCUCUGGGAAUGGUAGCAGUUAAAAACUCGUUUCUCUGUUGGUUACAGUCAUGUGUGACCUGUGCUAAGCAAUCUAGAGGUGUCACCUCGUAGCACCUGCGAAAAUUGGGGCACCAGGUGAGGGUAUAAACUCCUUUCUGGGAGAUACGGACUCUAGGUGUGUGCCAAACCAGAGGCCUGCCCCUUUGGGCCCAUGCUGCCGGACAAGCACAUCACAGAGAGCCUGGGUGUUUAUUUCGGUCUGCUGGCUGUGCAGGACCCUGGCAGCCAGCCGAGAUCUUGUAUCUGAUUGAUAUAGUCGUGCGGGUCCCCGGCAUGCAGGCCCUGCUUGCCCCCAGAGCCAGGCGAUCAAGGGGUGUCCACUGGAUGGGUGCUUGCAAAAACUGGGGUGCCAGGUGUAAAAAUGGUAUGAGAGGCAAUGAAAAGCUCUCCUCUGAGAGAUACUGGUGCUCUGGAAGGCAGCGGCGGGGGCAGUGUGAAGGUGGUGCCGAGAUUAACCAAAUGUCCACUGGCCUCCAUCCUUGGAGAGUACCCAGCAGUCCCCCAGAUGUGUUAAGUGAGACGCCUGCCUCUCAAGCCGAUGCUUUUAAGAGCAGAAAGCCUCUUUGAUGUCAAGUCUGGCUGCUCCUGUGCUGGGCUGUAGUGUGAGGGAGAAGCCAGGGGCCUGAGGCCGGUCCGAGCCAUUUCUCAGUUUGCUCGCUAGCCUUUCAGGCCUCAUGCAUGCAAUCCUCAUUGGUUUCCAAAGCUCUAAGUUUUAGGGCCUUAUUUCUCAGGCGUGGGUCUUAAAAGUUGGGCUUCCCGAUAUGGGGUUCAAUGCUGGCGGUGGGAUUUUCAGCAAGACUGCUUCUCUGCCUUGCCUCCCCACCUUGGUGUGGGGGGUUUGCCCCACAUUACGAGUCCCUCUGCUUUUGUUUCUGUUUUCGGAGGAAAUCACUCCAGAUGUAGCUGUGGAUCUGGUGUGUCCAUGGAAGGGAGUGAGUUCAGAAUCUGCCUUAUGUCUCCAUCUUGAACUGGCCUUAUUCCUUUUAAUGGCUAAAUUAUAUUCCGUUAUCUCCAUAGCCCACAUUUUGUGUAUCCACUCCGCUGAUGGACGUUGAGGUGGUUCUGCCCUUGUUGGAUGUUGUGAGUGGUGCUGCGAGGAACCGCCAGACUGUUUCAGCAGUGGUUGCAGCGUUUCACGUUCCCACCAGCAGACAAUGAGGGUUCCGGUUUCUCCACAGUCCUUGUGAACACGUAUUCCCCGCCCCAUCCCUGGCCUUUUAGCACAGUUCAUAUCCUCUCUCCAGCUGCCUGGAUGUUGACAGACAAAAGCUGCUCAACGGAAAAGCCCUUCACAGGAGCCUCAAAGCUAGAAGCUCCUCCGCCUAGUGCCCAGUAUCCUGGAACAGCUCGCAAAAGCUCCAGCACCAUCAUUAGAAAGAAGACGAACCACAACCAUCAACUCCCUCAUCAUCUCAUCACUUCUCGGCCUUUGGGCUAAGCUCAAGCGUCCGCUGUGCCCCUGGGUUCUCAAGGGUUCAGGAGAAGCUAUGCUUUGAAGUAUCCCACGCCAUCCAGACAAGUCUAGAGCAGGUAAGCACGGAGGACUCCCCAAGGAAUGGAGAGAAAUGGCCCCUGAAAGAGUAAAUAAAGGCCCCAAGCUCCCCUAACUCUAAAGUCUGCACAAAAUAAGGUCAAAUCAUGAUAACUUGGAACUACCUGGGUUCUCCUGCUUCAUUUAAAUGUGAGGAAAGCUGUCUGAGGGGACAGUCAACUCCCAUUUCUCGCCAUCUGCCAUGUCUACUGCCUCUAGUUUUGCCUUUACUUACUUUA